This is a non-coding RNA of Phrynosoma platyrhinos (Desert horned lizard), 72 nucleotides long. NCBI's taxonomy places the organism in Eukaryota, Metazoa, Chordata, Lepidosauria, Squamata, Phrynosomatidae. The record is from the annotation of a GenBank genome assembly.
GUCAGUAUGGCACAGUGGUCUGAGCUCGAGGCUAUGAUGCUGGAGAUUGGAGUUCAAUUCUCCACUCAGUCA